GACGAAGGAGGCUAGCGUUGUUCGGAAUUACUGGGCGUAAAGCGCGUGUAGGCGGUUGUCCAAGUUGGAUGUGAAAGCCUUGAGCUCAACUCAAGAAAUGCAUUCAGGACUGGAUGACUAGAGGACCGGAGAGGAUAGUGGAAUUCCCAGUGUAGUGGUGAAAUACGUAGAGAUUGGGAAGAACACCAGUGGCGAAGGCGGCUAUCUGGACGGUUUCUGACGCUAAGACGCGAAAGCGUGGGGAGCAAACAGG
This 253-nucleotide ribosomal RNA is filed under the name uncultured bacterium. RNAcentral's name for it is "partial 16S ribosomal RNA". It matches the Rfam family "Bacterial small subunit ribosomal RNA", at positions 524 to 776 of the family's 1533-position model. The record is from RNAcentral.